GCCACCAGCUCAGCCUGUUUGGCUGCCACGGCAAACUGCCAUAAAACCACAUGGUUUAUAAGGCAAAACAAAUCUAAUUCUCGGUUUUAGAACCUGGGGAUUCCACACAAAAGAUGGGAAAGGCUUUACAGAGGUGAUUUAAAUCAAAGACCUUCAAAUGGGGAAACCAAGCAGCAGAUCCUGGAAAUGGCCCAGCUCCAGACUGGAGGAGGCAAAGGGAAGUUUGGCAUCCGCGACUGAAGGCAGAGACACCAACUAAAAACCACCGAGUGGAUCUGAAGUCUUUUUGAGGGAGCUGUGAGACCAACCUUCCUACUACCCUGGACUUGGUGUGGUCAACAACCCUGACUCAGGACUUCUAAAAGGAGCCUGAUAGACUCACCGGCUCAGAAUGGACACAAGACAGAGAGACGGGUGUCCAGAUAAAAAUAUCU
Acomys russatus (golden spiny mouse) is the source of this 434-nucleotide long non-coding RNA. RefSeq lists it as uncharacterized. The record is from RefSeq and is a predicted model, not a curated record. Lineage: Eukaryota; Metazoa; Chordata; Mammalia; Rodentia; Muridae. The transcript is spliced from 3 exons.